GCUUGUUUGAAGGAGCUUCGCAGCUGCGGGUAGAAAACGGAGACAGAGAGACCGAGACAAUGAGCAGUCGAGGAAUACACUCCCAAAUAUGCAGGACUGAGAGGGAGAGAAGGGAAAGUGGAGGAAAACAGCUGUGAGAAAGUGCAACGUCCAUGUUGGAGCCCACACUCGAAUGACUGGUUGCGCUGGCGACGCUGCUGACACUGUCAGAGGAGUGUUGCCUCCUGAUGCGCAAGUCCGGCUGCUGGUUCUGCUGCUGCUGCUGUUGUUGUUGUGGACUGCCGUUACUGCCAGCUGAGGAGAGACAGGAAAUGCAUGUGUUUGUCUAUGUAUUAGGCUGAAAUAUGUCUUCCAUAAAAUAUCAAACUUCAA
This is a long non-coding RNA of Lates calcarifer (barramundi perch), 372 nucleotides long. RefSeq lists it as uncharacterized. The record is from RefSeq and is a predicted model, not a curated record. The transcript is spliced from 2 exons. Lineage: Eukaryota; Metazoa; Chordata; Actinopteri; Centropomidae.